This 253-nucleotide ribosomal RNA is filed under the name uncultured bacterium. RNAcentral describes it as "partial 16S ribosomal RNA". It matches the Rfam family "Bacterial small subunit ribosomal RNA", at positions 524 to 776 of the family's 1533-position model. The record is from RNAcentral.
CACGUAGGGCGCAAGCGUUGUCCGGAAUUAUUGGGCGUAAAGAGCUCGUAGGCGGUCUGUUGCGUCCGCUGUGAAAACUCGGGGCUUAACCCCGAGCCUGCAGUGGAUACGGGCAGACUAGAGGUAGGUAGGGGAGAAUGGAAUUCCCGGUGUAGCGGUGAAAUGCGCAGAUAUCAGGAAGAACACCCGUGGCGAAGGCGGCUCUCUGGGACGGUACUGACGCUGAGACGCGAAAGCGUGGGGAGCAAACAGG